GCGGGGUGGAGCAGUUGGCAGCUCGUCGGGCUCAUAACCCGAAGGUCACAGGUUCAAGUCCCUUCACCCGCACCA
Molecule: transfer RNA, 75 nt
Filed under: Carnobacterium divergens
Lineage: Bacteria; Bacillati; Bacillota; Bacilli; Lactobacillales; Carnobacteriaceae
Description: tRNA-Met
Rfam family: tRNA
About the family: Transfer RNA (tRNA) molecules are approximately 80 nucleotides in length. Their secondary structure includes four short double-helical elements and three loops (D, anti-codon, and T loops). Further hydrogen bonds mediate the characteristic L-shaped molecular structure. tRNAs have two regions of fundamental functional importance: the anti-codon, which is responsible for specific mRNA codon recognition, and the 3' end, to which the tRNAs corresponding amino acid is attached (by aminoacyl-tRNA synthetases). tRNAs cope with the degeneracy of the genetic code in two manners: having more than one tRNA (with a specific anti-codon) for a particular amino acid; and 'wobble' base-pairing, i.e. permitting non-standard base-pairing at the 3rd anti-codon position.
Source: RNAcentral